This 490-nucleotide ribosomal RNA is filed under the name uncultured bacterium. RNAcentral's name for it is "partial 16S ribosomal RNA". It matches the Rfam family "Bacterial small subunit ribosomal RNA", at positions 30 to 507 of the family's 1533-position model. The record is from RNAcentral.
AUUGAACGCUGGCGGCAGGCCUAACACAUGCAAGUCGAACGGUAACAGGAAGCAGCUUGCUGCUUCGCUGACGAGUGGCGGACGGGUGAGUAAUGUCUGGGAAACUGCCUGAUGGAGGGGGAUAACUACUGGAAACGGUAGCUAAUACCGCAUAACGUCGCAAGACCAAAGAGGGGGACCUUAGGGCCUCUUGCCAUCGGAUGUGCCCAGAUGGGAUUAGCUGGUAGGUGGGGUAACGGCUCACCUAGGCGACGAUCCCUAGCUGGUCUGAGAGGAUGACCAGCCACACUGGAACUGAGGCACGGUCCAGACUCCUACGGGAGGCAGCAGUGGGGAAUAUUGCACAAUGGGCGCAAGCCUGAUGCAGCCAUGCCGCGUGUAUGAAGAAGGCCUUCGGGUUGUAAAGUACUUUCAGCGGGGAGGAAGGGAGUAAAGUUAAUACCUUUGCUCAUUGACGUUACCCGCAGAAGAAGCACCGGCUAACUCCGUG